UUAAACACUGAUCAAAGCUCAAGAGAGAGUGAAUGCACCAAGGAAACAAUGUCUUAUUUAGUGAAAACAUGGUUUUGUGAAGAAACUUAAAUCUGAGAAGAACACAGAACAGUAGAUACACUGGUGACUUGAAAUAAAGAUACCAUCUACAAGUAUGCAGCUUCAAAGCUUCAGUGCCAGCCAUACUUCACAAGAAUUUUGUCACAGUUACUUCCAAGUAACAAUGGCAAAGGAAACCCAGUCCUUACCUUGGUGGUCAGAUCCUGUUCAGCAGGCAGAGUCUCUCUCAGGGCUCGCAGACCGUGUUUAACUAGCUCAUUUAGAUUACCUUAAAAUGGAAUCAGAAAGACAUUGACAAACUAUAUGAUUUACAGUUAUGCCAAACUUGGCUCACAAUAUUUAUCUUCAGCUCACUCAAAGCAAAAGGAUGGAGUGGCAGCAGGAGACAAACUGCAGAACUGAUGAACACCAGUGGGCAGAGAGAGUUCCAUUACUCACACUCAGUGAACUCAGUCAUGUGCCUCUCCAAGUAAGUUCGUGCUGACUGUGAACGAGCACCAAUGGACAUUGCUUUGCAGUCAAAAUAGUUUGCAGAGGGACAAGUUUGGAAGAUGUGAGGGCCCAUAUCCUACAAAGAGAGAAGAAAGCCCCCACACAAUGUUAAACAAACAUAUAAAUUCACACCAACUCUGCUGCUAGAGCACGAAAUUUUCUAAAAGAAUUUUACUUCAUGGUACAUCACACCUACAUGUGUGCACAGAAAUGUAUUUUAUAUAUAUUUUAUAUUGCUGAUCAUAUUACUGUUCUUAUGCAAUUCCUUCAACCCUGUUGUUUAAAAAACCACAACAACAAUUUAAAAAAAACCAAACAGAAACCUCUUUUUUUCCACUUUGCUCAUCUGCAGCUUUUCAAUGGACAGGA
Long non-coding RNA from Passer domesticus (house sparrow), 921 nucleotides. RefSeq lists it as uncharacterized. Lineage: Eukaryota; Metazoa; Chordata; Aves; Passeriformes; Passeridae. The record is from RefSeq and is a predicted model, not a curated record. The transcript is spliced from 2 exons.